GAAGAGUACUGUGAUUUUUUUCCCUCAAUUUAUGUUUGGAUCCUGGUAAAUUUUUGUUCCCUUGCUUUGUUAGUUUUUAAUUUUAUUAUUUUCAAAACUAUUAAAAGUAAUGCAAAUUAAGGGUUUUGACUUACAUUCCUUAGGACAUGAAUGGCAAGAUGAAUUUUCUCAUAUUAUGGCAAUGACAGAUCCAGCCUUUGGGUCUUCGGGAAGACCAUUGUUGGUUUUAUCUUGUAUUUCUCAAGGGGAUGUAAAAAGAAUGCCCUGUUUUUAUUUGGCUCAUGAGCUGCAUCUGAAUCUUCUAAAUCACCCAUGGCUGGUCCAGGAUACAGAGGCUGAAACUCUGACUGGUUUUUUGAAUGGCAUUGAGUGGAUUCUUGAAGAAGUGGAAUCUAAGCAUUCAAGAUGAUUCUCUUUUCAGAUCUUGGGAACUGAAACCAUUUGAAAUUUAUUACUAAGGUCAUGAUGUGAAUAUUUGCUCGGUCAGCCCACCUUGUCCUGCCUUUUUGCAGAUGAGCUUUAAUUUGGACAGCUAUAACUGCUGUGUUUUUUAUAUUAUUUUUACUCUUUACCAUAAAUCAAUUACAAGAAAAGAGUUUCAGUCCUAGUAUUUAGCCCCAAAAUGAACCUUUAAACAUUUUUUUGGUAAUUUUUAUAUUUUCUGUCUUUUAAAAAAUAUUAAAUUCUGGAAAAAACAA
Molecule: small RNA, 698 nt
Filed under: Pongo abelii (Sumatran orangutan)
Lineage: Eukaryota; Metazoa; Chordata; Mammalia; Primates; Hominidae
Description: retained intron
Source: RNAcentral